This 752-nucleotide long non-coding RNA is filed under the name Ovis aries (sheep). RNAcentral describes it as "lncRNA (ENSOARG00000025686.1)". The record is from RNAcentral. Lineage: Eukaryota; Metazoa; Chordata; Mammalia; Artiodactyla; Bovidae.
GAUCUUAGUUCCCUAACCAGGAACUGGGCCACAGCAGUGAAAGCACCAGGUCCUAACCACUGGCCCACCAGGAAACUCCCCCCAGAGGCUGAUCUUGAGCGCACCAUCCUCUGAGGACAAGGGCGCUUGAGCCACAUGCACCACAAGCCUGAGGAGCUGGAGGCCUUACCUCAGUGGAGCCGGUGAAUGCCACUUUGUCCACGUCCUCAUGGGAGGCGAUGGCAGCUCCGGCCGUGGGGCCAAAUCCAGGAAUAAUAUUGACCACACCUGGAGGAAAGCCAGCCUGUGAAAAAAACACCAGGGACACUGGAGUCAUUCUCCUGCUCCACGGAGUCCAGACAGAGGAAUACACAUCCCUUCCCAGAGAGGCUGAGGCAGUCGGCCCAGCACCCAGCUUUUUCGGUUUUGAAGAGCUGCCCAAGCAAUUCCAAGAAGAGUUGAUCACAUUUAUGUCAAGGAGCCAAGCGCUUUCUCUGAGGUGUGCAGAACCGGGAGGGAAGAGUCGGCAUGUUCAGAUUCAGUCCCUCACCACGACCUCAGGACCUGUCCUCUGUGAGGCUCCUGCCCCGCCAAGGCCUCCUGCCUCCUUCCCACCACAUCUGGGAGGUGGGCUGCUCCAUCUCUACGGGGGACUGGGAGACUUCUGCCAGGACUGUGCCCUGCUCUACCAGGGACUUCGCCUGUGGACACAGGAGACAGGACCGGAAGUGCAGGGCUGCGCCCUUCAGAGGAGUGUACCUCAAUUGAGAUGA